Molecule: ribosomal RNA, 305 nt
Filed under: uncultured bacterium
Lineage: Bacteria
Description: bacterial SSU rRNA
Rfam family: Bacterial small subunit ribosomal RNA
Source: RNAcentral
UCCUACGGGGCGCAGCAGUGAGGAAUAUUGGUCAAUGGGCUUACGCCUGAACCAGCCAAGUCGCGUGAGGGAAGACUGCCCUAUGGGUUGUAAACCUCUUUUGUCAGGGAGCAAUUGGCGCUACGUGUAGCGUUAUCGAGAGUACCUGAAGAAAAAGCAUCGGCUAACUCCGUGCCAGCAGCCGCGGUAAUACGAAGGAUGCGAGCGUUAUUCGGAUUUAUUGGGUUUAAAGGGUGCGUAGGCGGAAUGCCAAGUCAGCGGUAAAAUCGCGGGGCUCAACCUCGCUCGGCCGUUGAAACUGGCGU